Molecule: unclassified non-coding RNA, 351 nt
Filed under: soil metagenome
Description: partial contains 5.8S ribosomal RNA, internal transcribed spacer 2, and large subunit ribosomal RNA
Rfam family: 5.8S ribosomal RNA (bases 1-120)
Source: RNAcentral
GAUGAAGAACGCAGCGAAAUGCGAUAAGUAGUGUGAAUUGCAGAAUUCAGUGAAUCAUCGAAUCUUUGAACGCACAUUGCGCCCUUUGGUAUUCCAAAGGGCAUGCCUGUUCGAGCGUCAUUUGUACCUUCAAGCUUUGCUUGGUGUUGGGCGUUUUUUGUCUCCCUCUUUCUGGGAGACUCGCCUUAAAACGAUUGGCAGCCGGCCUACUGGUUUCGGAGCGCAGCACAUAUUUUGCGCUUUGUAUCAGGAGAAAAGGACGGUAAUCCAUCAAGACUCUACAUUUUUAACUUUUGACCUCGGAUCAGGUAGGGAUACCCGCUGAACUUAAGCAUAUCAAUAAGCGGAGGA